UUCAAGUUCGUCUAACCUAAUAUAAUGUUAUGGCUACUUAAUUUCUCUGUUUCAUGAGUGGGCAAGAAGCUCCUCCCUCUUAACAUGCUGUGACAAGAUCGUAACGCCAUACUGCUAGUGAAACAAACAACUACGGUGAAACAAGUGGAAGUUUGGAGGAGGAAAGAGUGAACCUCUUACAUGAAGUGAUGAAGAGGGAGAAUUGUGUUGUGGUUGCAGAGAAAAUGGCCAAAACCUUCUCUCUUCGCAGGAAGGAAAUAAUUUAUCAGGCCCCUGCAAUUAAAGACAUCAUUGACCGAUGGCCUGCUUUAUUUGAUGCAACACAGAUAAAUGAAGAAUUCACAAGAAUAACCACUGUAAGUCUUGAGUCUACAUUUAUGGCCAAACUUGAUGCUUGCACCUCCAAAUUAAUGGAUGUAGUCUCAUCGAGGGGAGGAACUUCAGGACUGAGGAUAAGGCACAUUAAGAAUCAGCUUCUAGAGAACAAUGCAAUUGAAGUACGGUGAGAGGUGGCCAUUCGUUGCCUGGUUGUCUACCUUGGAGAAAAGGAACAGGACCUUUUCAAGGAGUUUAAUGAUAUUGAACAGUUUGAAGCAAACCUUGACAGGCAAGUAUUGAACAUCGCCAUCAUCAAAGACCAGGAUCCGAACACUGGAACCAUCGUGAUCGAGGGAGCCAAAAUCCUGGAUGGAAUUGAUGUCCUAAGGUGCUGUGCUUUGCUCAUGGGUUUAAUAUAUGCUCUGAAUCUGAGCUAUCCCAAGGACCUCAAAUGUACAUACAAAGUUUUUCAGAAACUGUUCCUUGAACUUGAUGGACAAAAAACAAGUGGAAAAGUAAUGAAUUUCAAGUACAGCAAUUUCUAACAACACUUUUCUUUCAAACCACUGUAGUAUGGCUAUUUGUUAGUCAAAGUUUUUGAAAGAUGUUGAAAAAUGUAAAUGCCAUGUUAUAUUUCCAAUAAAGUAAA
This is a long non-coding RNA of Polypterus senegalus (gray bichir), 967 nucleotides long. RefSeq lists it as uncharacterized. The transcript has 5 exons. The record is from RefSeq and is a predicted model, not a curated record. Lineage: Eukaryota; Metazoa; Chordata; Cladistia; Polypteriformes; Polypteridae.